UCGGUGUGUACAAGACCCGGGAACGCAUUCACCGCAGCAUUCUGAUCUGCGAUUACUAGUAACUCCAGCUUCAUGUAGGCGAGUUUCAGCCUACAAUCCGAACUGAGAAUGGCUUUAAGGGAUUAGCUCCGCCUCACGACUUGGCUGCCCUCUGUACCACCCAUUGUAGCACGUGUGUAGCCCUAAGCAUAAGGGGCAUGAUGAUUUGACGUCAUCCCCACCUUCCUCCAGGUUAUCCCUGGCAGUCCCUCUAGAGUGCCCAACUUAAUGCUGGCAACUAAAGGCAAGGGUUGCGCUCGUUGCGGGACUUAACCCAACAUCUCACGACACGAGCUGACGACAACCAUGCACCACCUGUCACUUCUGUCCCCGAAGGGAAAGAUGCGAUUAGGCAUCGGUCAAAAGGAUGUCAAGCUUAGGUAAGGUUCUUCGCGUUA
Molecule: unclassified non-coding RNA, 437 nt
Filed under: uncultured bacterium
Lineage: Bacteria
Description: contains 16S-23S intergenic spacer region
Source: RNAcentral